RNAcentral lists this ribosomal RNA (275 nucleotides) under uncultured bacterium. RNAcentral describes it as "partial 16S ribosomal RNA". It matches the Rfam family "Bacterial small subunit ribosomal RNA", at positions 338 to 605 of the family's 1533-position model. The record is from RNAcentral.
CCUACGGGUGGCAGCAGUGGGGAAUUUUGGACAAUGGGGGCAACCCUGAUCCAGCCAUUCCGCGUGAGUGAAGAAGGCCUUCGGGUUGUAAAGCUCUUUUGUCCGGAACGAAACGGUUAGUUCUAAUACGACUGACUACUGACGGUACCGGAAGAAUAAGCACCGGCUAACUACGUGCCAGCAGCCGCGGUAAUACGUAGGGUGCGAGCGUUAAUCGGAAUUACUGGGCGUAAAGCGUGCGCAGGCGGUUUUGUAAGCCAGAUGUGAAAUCCCCG